RNAcentral lists this ribosomal RNA (624 nucleotides) under Episyrphus (Asiobaccha) sp. ZFMK XM127. RNAcentral describes it as "eukaryotic LSU rRNA". It matches the Rfam family "Eukaryotic large subunit ribosomal RNA", at positions 380 to 822 of the family's 3401-position model. Lineage: Eukaryota; Metazoa; Arthropoda; Insecta; Diptera; Syrphidae. The record is from RNAcentral.
AGAGAGAGUUCAAGAGUACGUGAAACUGCUUAGAGGUUAAGCCCGAUGAACCUGAAUAUCCAUUAUGGAAAAUUCAAUGCUAAUAAUAUGAUAUAUAAAAAAUAUUGUAAAAAUAGUGUGCAAUUUUUCCAUAUAAGGACAUUGUAAUCUGUUAAUGUAAUAAAUAUUUAUCAAAAGAUCCAUUACUUAAGUUUAUUUAAAUUGUUUAUUUUCGGAUAUUCAACAUAAAAUAAAUGUUUUGGAUUUGAUAAAUCAUUGACAGAUAUAAUUAUAUAUUGUGCUUAAAUUUGAAGGAAUUUUACAAUGAUGAAUAGAUCUAUUGAUUUAUUUAUUUAAUUGUAUGCACUUUUAUGAUUAACAAUGCGAUAGAUUCAGGAUACCUUCGGGACCCGUCUUGAAACACGGACCAAGGAGUCUAACAUAUGUGCAAGUCAUUGGGUAUUUUUAAUAAAACCCAAUGGCAUAAUUAACUUAACUGUUAUAUAAUAAUGGGAUUAGUUUAUAAUUUGUUAUGAAUUAUUUAUUCAAUCCCGGGGCGUUCUAUACAGUUAUGCAUAAUGAUAUUUAUAUUAUUUAUGCCUCUAACUAGAGCGUACCUUGAGCAUAUAUGCUGUGACCCGAAAG